This 1253-nucleotide long non-coding RNA is filed under the name Oryzias sinensis (Chinese medaka). RNAcentral describes it as "lncRNA (ENSOSIG00000018434.1)". The record is from RNAcentral. Lineage: Eukaryota; Metazoa; Chordata; Actinopteri; Beloniformes; Adrianichthyidae.
GACUGAUAUUUGUAAUUAAAUAAAAUAAUUACAGUAAUUAUAAUCAUAAUAAAUAACAUGCUCAUGCAAAUAAAAUAAAAAAAUAACUGGCAAGCUCUUACUCUGCAGUACAGACACUGAAAGGGAAUCUUGACCAUGCAAGUAAAGAAAUCUAUAGAAAGAAAAAAAAAAGAAAAAAUUAUAAAUGUAUCUCUGUGGGUUAGACGUGUUCUUUUAUUAUUUUUCUUAGUGUCACUGCUGAACAAAUGUAAAUAACUUCAUCUGUGUACUUUACAGGUGGCUGUGACAGGGGCACACCCGGGGCAGGACCCAUGAGGAGUCAUAAAAGAUGCUCACAGCCUGGGCGCUUCUGCUCUUCUUAGCCAUGUUGGUGAAAAGCACGUCUGGUGGCCCACUGUCCUUCAGAAUAGGAGCAUUUUCUUCUUGCUGGUGUACUUUCCGUUCAAGGCACAGGUACAGACUCCCACACGGACAUUUCAAAGCGAAGAGAAGCACAGAAACAAAGACAUACUCCCUAAUGUCGCCACAAAGUCCCUGCCAUUUGCGCUCCUGGAGAUGGUAUUUAACAUGCCUGUCUCCCGAGUCCAGUCUGGAAGGCAUAAUGUCACUGUCUGGCCUUUUAUUAAUGUAUCAGUUCCAAUAAUGGUGUCUCUCCUCCUUCUAAGCUCUGUUUAGGUGAAAUGAGGGCCCGUUAUUGUUGCCAUAUCCGUUGAGGACACAAAACUAUGGCCUAAAAUGGACUACUGUUUGUUAAUGAGGUGGCACGUGUUAGUUAAUCUUAUCACCAUGCUCACACAGCCUGUUUCGUAUAAAAUUUAAUAGAAGUAUAGUAAUUUAGCAAGUAAUCAAGUUGUAUUUAUCUGAGAGCAUCAUACUUUAUGCACCGUUACUACCACUAAUGUGUAGAAAAAUAAAGAUUCCCUGCUCACAUAAUGACUGUUGCAGUUUGUGGCUGUUUUGUGUUAAUAAAGCUUUGAAAGCUGUGGAAAAGAGUUAGACCAACACAAUUAACUCUAUCGGGGGGGGGGGGUCUCUUUUCUUCAAUUCAGAAACUGUCUAGUUCAUUUUGAAUUCAGGAAGGGUUUUGUAGGAAAUUAAGGCUUUCUAAUUUUAUAUUUACCAUUUAAACGGUUGUUUAGUACGGAGCCCGUGUCCUGACAUGGAAAAAAUAAAAUAUAUUUCGUUCCCACAACUUAAAAUUUUGUUCCGACAAAUUAAUAUUCCGUUCCCACGAAAUAAUAUUCUGUUCCCAC